CCUGCAGCUCCCGCCUCCCGCUCGGACUCUCGAGCUCCCGCCCGCGCCCGGCGCCGGCACAGCCCCGAGGACGCGGGAGCCCGGCGCUCCCGUGCGUGUGCAUGUGCGUGGGCAGUGCCGCCUUCGGGCGCGCGCAGGCCGGGCGCUGCGUCUGCGGGGCUCUCCCGCGACUCCAGGGCGGGCGACCUGGGCACACCGGAGACAGCGAGACGCGCGCUUGCGGGCGUUGAGUCUUAGCUGCUACCGCUGCCACAUUUUUGUAUAUGGGGAAGUGGUAGGCGCUCAAUAAACAUUUGCAGAACAAAUGCAAAAAGUGACACGUUUCAUCCCCCAGUCCCGCAUGAGAAAGGGAUCACCCCUAAAGCUCUGGAUCCAGCCAGGGGCGCGCCCACGCUCCCGCACAUCCCCGGAAACUCGCAAGGAAAAGUCGGGGGGGCUGGAGGCUGUAGCUUAACCCUGGCAGUGGAGCACCUGGGCUCGGUUUCAUUUGCAGCUCCUCCCGAGAACUCGGAUGACUCAGGACUGUUUCCUACAUCCCUGUUCAGCAAAGUAAUGAUUCCACUACUGUGGAAGCAUCGUCGCGUCCCCUCUAACGCGGUGACGGACCUGGGAGGUCCCUCCUGCGCCCGCGUUUUCUGCUCACCUGAACACAAGAAGCUGGACGGCCCCCCAAGGCUCCGUAGAGUCGCUUGGGGGGCUUUAUCACACUUGCUUUAACAGCGUUUCGCCAGAACAUUCGUAAUUUAAUCUAAAAAUUAGUGCAGGACCGUCCACGGGGGCUUGUAUGAUGAUUACAGAAGAUAAUGCUUGUAACAGGUACAUAAGGUACGUAAACGUUAAAGAAAUUAUAUUGUGAUUGUGUUAAAUUCCAGAGAAAUUCUGUCCGAGGUGAUUUUGUAGUACUAAUUGACGUUGGUUUCAGUAUUUCGAAAGGUGCUUUUUAUACACAUCCUUUUUGAUGUUCACAAAAGCAUGGGGGUUAGUGGGUCUAUUGAAUGAAGCAGGGUAGAAUAGACCAGUUCUAGAGUCAGACAUAUCCAGCUCAAAUACAGGGUACAUUAUUUAACUUCUCUAAACCUCACUCUUGUUCUCUGAUAAGAGCAGGGAAUUGUGAGGAUUAAAUGGAAUAAUGCUCAGUGAAGUGCUUAGCUCUAAUACUAGGCUGAUGGUGUUAAAUGACCUGCCAGCUCUCUGUGGAUAGCGGGUUUAGGUGGCAGGGGCAGAACCGGAACCACCAGAGUUCAGGCUCACACUUGACACCUAGGUGGCCAUGUUCCCUCUGAUGCCAUGCUGGGCCUGGUUAUUCAUACAUAGCUUUUAAGGUUACACGUCAAUCCUGUCUGUGUUUUUAAUAGGGGGACAGUAAUAGUACUAUAUCAUAGGAUUAUGUUCUCAAGCACUAAAACUGUCACUUCAUUUAGCAGUGUGUCUGAAGCAUCCCCCUUCUCCCAUACCACUUAAUUGCGUAGGUUUAUACACUCGUUCUGCAUAUAUUUAUCUGUCUACUAUGUAUAGACUGUCUUUUUGCAUAUGGCUAGGUAAAGUCUUCUCAGGAUUUGACUAAUUCGAUCCAAUUAAAAUAGUUUCGAAGAGUUCUCAAGCACUAGAAUGCAUUUCUCAAGUGACAGGUUCCAUGACAUCUUGGUUUUGCAUCAAUUAAUCCUCCUUUUCGUUUGCUUUAUGUGCUAGUCACUUGGUCUCUGCCUGGCUGUCCCUUACUUCAUGGGAAUCAUGGGAUGAGUCUAAAUGAAAGGGGACACUCUGUGGGAUGGAAAACUACAAAGGAAGGGCCUUACCCAGACCUGGCAUCUCACCUUAACCCAGCAGCCUUACCCGGGCGCCGCCCAGCAUUCAUUAGGCCCUCAAUAAAUACGGGCGUACAGAUAAGUGACAGCCCAGAACUCAAUACCAUGGGGAGUUAUAAGGACACACUGUGGGGUUGAUGGGGGGGGGGCGGGUCAGGACCUUUCUGAAAUACACAGACCUGAGGCUGUUGAAGGAAGUCUUCUUGCCUCUCCUGCCAGGAAUGCUGUCACUAUACGUGGGGCUCUCAGGCUGACAACUCUGCUGGGAACACCUGUUCCUCACCUGGGACGCCCACAGCCUCCUCUUGAGUGGAGCCUGCUUGUUAGGAUUGUGAGGCCCGGAAUAUGGGGCCUGUGGCAGGAGUCUGGGGUGCCAGGGUCUACAGUGGCUGUGAAGCAGCCCCCAAAGGACACUGGUAAUGUUAGAUCAUUUGGGUGGAGUUGAUUUCUCCAUCACACUGAUCUUGGGCCCUCUGACCAGUGGAAGAUGGGCAGACAAGAGGGUGCAUGAGUUCUGAACAGAGGCUUUGAGAAGCAGCCUGUGUUCCACUCUCCCACCAGGGCUUGUGCAGUCCGCCGUGAGGGGACCGGGCCCUGGUUGCCACUGCCUCUUCUGUCUGGGCCCUCAAAUGACAAGCAGGUCUCAGAGAAUGAAGCUGACCUGAAACCCAAGCCCAGCUAAGCCCAGGCAGGCAACAGCUCAUCCACAAACCCAUGAAUGAGAAGGAAAUGCUUGCUUUGUUAGGCACUGGAAGACUGUGUUUUAUGCUUUGUUAUUGCAGACAGACCUAAAACACCUGCACAAGGAAAAAUAUCCCACCAAAUGCCAAGAGCACCCUCCCCUUGCUGCUCUGAAAACACUGGACACAGUAAAUGAACAAGAAAUAGAUCGAAUCCCUGAUGACAGAGAGAUACAAGAUUGAAUCGAGCCCUUGCUAUGGAUAUUUCUUGUUGACCAUUUUGGUUGUGCUGGGCCAGGGAAGUCCCUUGGUGGAGCAAAUUUCUGAGGAGGAAGAGAAGAACACGGUGUCCUCAGGAACUGCCCCCCGGGACUUCUCUGUCACAUCUGAUCUCUGAAGAGAGAACCUGGGCUAGCAGCUCCCUUUCAGGAGGGAGGGUUGAAUCAAAAAAGUUCUGAACAUCUUCCAAGAUGAGGAAACUGAGGCCCAGAGAGGCAGAGCCUUGACAUAUAUUUAGCCUGAUAACCACUGAGAAAGGGAGAGACUGAGCCUACACUCAAUUCAUUACAAAAGCCAUAAUCCCAGUAACGAGGAUUUCUUCUUGUAACAAAGAAGACAGUAAAAUCAAAGGGGAAAUAUUUAAAGUGGAAUGAAAGGAAUUGGCACUAGAAAAGACGAUGUGGUGACUGGAGAAAAACAGGAAAAGAUUUUAGGAGUUCUCCAUUGUGGGGGGACUCUACAGUCACUGGCUUUGUCUCUUAUCCAGUUUCCUUCCCUAUUGUACUGACCCUGUGCUUCCUGGAUGUCUGCUCCAAACCAGCAGAAAGAGGAAAGGUUUCCACAUGCUAAUAUGUAAAUCCAAGCAGCCCGUGUCUGCACGGAGCAACCAGUGACUCCGUAAUGCUCAAAAGCAAGGUCAGAGGCAAAGCAAGCCUGCCUUCCCCCAGAUGCUUGGUGACUGUGUCCUAAUUAUCCACCCUGAAAGUCAGUGCCCGAGGGCAAGUAUGCAGCAGAGAACAGCCGGCACAGAAAUACCUCAGUUCGUGCAGCGGAAAAGACAGACGGUCAGAAGUUCUAAAUCUUGGACACCACUCUACCAGCAACGAGCUCUCAUUUUGGACAAGUUCUUCAUCCUCUCCCUUUAUAGAAUGAAGACGUUGGACAAGACUAAGCUCCUUAUCCAAUGGAGCUCCAAAGCACCUUAAUUGAAUGACCUUUUCCCCCAAACCCUCACUUGCCUUGCCCAUCUUUCCCCCCAAAUCUACCUAGCACAGCUCUAACCCUCAAUCAGCCCAACUCUUCUAAUCUUUGUGUCGCUGCCCCCAAGCAGCUGAGAAGCACGGGAGAAAGUGUCGCAACUGGGAAGGUGGGUGCCACCCCGGAUCCAGAGCGAGCAGCCUCCCCCUUCAUGCAGCAAAGGUCCUCCCUCAGUUUAGAGAGAAUAGAGGACCCCUCGGGUCCCUGCCUUCUGCCUGCUCUGCAGACUCACUGCCGCCACAAGUGAUCUCCUCUUCCCAUCUCAGUAGAAGAGGGAUCUUUCCCUGGACGAUGCUCCACUGAUUAGCAUUUCUAUGAGAUAUAACUUUCUUCCAUUUUACUGAGGAUUUCUUCAGCAUAAAAUGCUUAUACAAUCUAUUAUUUUUUAAAAGCCCUCCCUUGUGUGUUCUGAGGGCCGUUUGCUUUCUUGAGUUAAGCUCAAGAAAGGGUGGUCUGUGACAAUCAUGCCCACUUUCUUUCUUUCUUUCUUUCUUUCUUUCUUUCUUUUUUUUUUUUUUUUGCGGUACGCCGGCCUCUCACUGUUGUGGCCUCUCCCGUUGCGGAGCACAGGCUCCGGACGCGCAGGCUCAGCGGCCAUGGCUCACGGGCCCAGCCGCUCUGCGGCAUGUGGGAUCCUCCCGGACCGGGGCACAAACCUGUGUCCCCUGCAUCGGCAGGCGGACUCUCAACCACUGCGCCACCAGGGAAGCCCAUGCCCACUUUAUCUCAACUCCCUCCUUCAUUCACUUUUACCCGGCUUCUGCCCCGGCCACCCCAAGUGAACACCCCUCUCCAAAUUAUCACCUGCCUUAUUGCUAAAGCCAGAGGACAGGUUCUAGUCCUCAUGCCUAAUAGCACUUGCACUGAAACGUCCUUUCCCUUGGCUUUUAUAAUCCCCCUCUCUCUCUGUCUCUCUCGCUCUCUCCGACUUAAAUGUCGAUCUCCCCCAUCGACAGUGUCUCAGGCUCUUCUUUCCUGAUUGGAUGGAUUUACCAACUUUCUAGAUUUCGUUUUUCCAAAACCGAACCAGUCAUCGUGCUCUCUAAACCCUCUGUGUCCUUCUCAACUUGAGGUACCAGAAGUCACUUUAUCACCAAUAUCAAAAACCUUAACCCCAUUCUUGAAUUCACCAUUUCUUUCACCUUCAUUAAAGUUGGUCAUUGAAUCACAUCAGUUCCACCUCUGUAAUGUCACACUCGUUAUCAGGCAGAUCUGAUCUUGUCAUCACCCCCAACCACCUCUGAGACACCACACUGAAAGUUUUUAGAGGUUCCAGAGCACCGACAAGAUACAGUGCAGUUCUUUGCCAUGGACCUCAAAGCCUUCUGAAAGCCGUCCCUUACGUACUGCACUGAUCUCACGUCCAGCCACUCUGUGCUGUUGCACUCUGUAUUUCUGUCAAAACAAGUGCCUGUGGUCUCCAGAAUAUCUCAUGCCGGUACUCACCCAGGGGCUUUGCACAUACUUCUCCUUCUGCUAAUUUCUCUUCCUACUCCUCUGCUCCCCAUGUCCGCUGACUCGAGUCUACCUACACAGCUCCAGUGUAGGUAGACUCAGCUCCGGUGUCUUCUCCACAAAAAGUCUUUCUUGGUGGCCCAGUCUUUGUUGGUCUAGUCCACUAUCUGGAAUAUAGCAAAACGUUUCAAUGUUUUUGAAAGUUCAAUGAUCUGCUUCAAUGAUUUUCUCUUUUAUUUUAUUUUUUAAAAUUUUAUUUAUUGUUAUUAUUUGGGGGGCUGCACUGGGUCUUCGUUGCUGCACGUGGGCUCUUCUCUAGAUGCAGCGAGCAGGGGCUUUAGGAGCGUGGGCUUCAGUAGUUGUGGCGCACGGGCUUAGUUGCUCCGUGGCAUGUGGGAUCUUCCCGGACCAGGGCUUGAACCCGUGUCCCCUGCAUUGGCAGGUGGAUUCUUAACCACUACUCCACCAGGGAAGUCCCGUGAUUUUCUCUUUUAAACAAUUCAAUUUACCCUAGUUUCAUACGCCUGACCCCUAAAGUACCUCAGCUUUAUUCGUGCUUCACUUACUCUUCUUUGGGUCUUUAUCCCAUUUUCAGUGUAUCACUUUUAAUUCCGUCUUAAACAGUUCUUACAAAAUAUUUUCCAAAUAAAAAUGUUAAAGAGAAGCAGAUGAAGGCAUGGGAUUAAUAGAAAACUGUAAAAUGAAAACGAGAUGGGGCUGGGACCUAGUUUACCAUGGAAUAUCUGGCCCUCCCGCUAUUUCCCCCAUGUGAUAUUUCCAGAGCUUCUUCAGUUACAAUUCCUUAAAUUUUAAAUAUUGUAUAAAGCUUCUAGCUGCCUUGAAUGUAGGAGUUUUCAAAGAGGGCAUAAGUACUAUCAGGGUGUGUUUAAAUAUGAAUAUGAGUGUUAGUAAAGAUACAGGCUAAGCUUCUGUGAUGAAGAAACUCAAAAAAAAAAAAAACCCCUGGCUCCAACAAGGUAGAAAUUUAUUUCUCAUAUAAUAGCUGUAGCCAGAUAGUCCAGGGAGGCUGCGCAGGUCUACACAAGAGACCCAACUUCCUUCUGCCCUCUCGUUCUGCCAUGCUCUAGAACUGCUCUGUCCAAUAUGGCAUCCACUACCCAUGAGUUCCUACUGAGCUCUUGGAGUGUGGCUGGUUCAAACUAGGACACGCUGCAAUACAUGUACAAACACAAACCAGUUUUCAAAGACUCCGUAAGAAAAAAGAAUUCAAAUAUUUCAUUAAUAACUUUAUAUUGAUUGCAUGUUGAAAUAAUAUUUUGGAUGAAUUGGGUUAAGUAACAUGUUAUUAAAUCUCAUUUUAUCCAUUUUUUUUGUUUGUUUAGAAAAUCUUUAACCACACUUGUGGCUCACAUUAUAUUUUGCUUGGACAGUGCUGUUCUAGAAUGUAGUGUAUUAUCUUCAUCUAUAUGGUAAAAGCUGGCUCACAGUACCACAUAUGUGGUCAGAAAAAAGCAGGAAAGAAAAAUAGUAGAAGACAAAUCUCUAAGGAGAUGAUGUGCGAUCAGUUCACUCAGAUUCCAUUGGUGAGGGCUUAGUCACGUGACCCCAUCAAGCUGCCCAGAAUAUAAGGAAACGUAGUGUGUGGCUGGGCAGCCAUGUGCUGUACUGGAGAAAAAGGAGGGAGAAUGGAUUCCAGGGUAAUGUAUACUAACUACGUGGUCUCUGUCACGGGUAUGUUUCUAGAAAGUGUUAUCAGAGUUGACUUUGAGUAGAAGGGCAUUGAAGACGUUCCCUUGGUUGAGGGGAUGGGGAAAAGAGUAGAAGGACAUUCAGACAUCCAAUGAAAAAUAAUCAAAGUAAGAUAUUUCAACACCUGGUUUGAGAAAGUAAAAGAAGGAAGAAGAGGUAAACAACGGCUCCAGGAAAAUAGGGGGUUGGCCAAGCGGGAAGAUGUCCUUAUGUUCAAGGCAGUGCUUAAUAGAAGAAGGUAGGAGGGUGAAGGUAGUCAGCUUUCUGCUUCUGUAAGUGGGGCGGAGGAAGGUGGGAUAUGACUUUGCUCCCACAUGUUGGAGAAUUGAUACGGGAAAUCAAUAGUCAACUGAGAUCCUAAGAGGCUCAAGAACUCAAGACAGAGGAUGAUGAAGAGAGCGUGUAAUGGGCACAAAUGCACAUGGAUGAAUCUCCCAGACACAGUGUUGAACGACAGAAUCAAGACACCAAAGAAUAUAUACAGUAUCGUUCAAUUUAUAUAAUGUUCCCAAAGUGGCAGAUCUAAUCUAUGGUUAUAGACAGCAAAUGCUGAUUGCCUUGGGGAAGGGUAAUUCAUGAGACAGGCUUCUGAGUUGCUGGUAAUGCUCUAUAUCUUGAUCUGGGUGAUGUUUAUAUGGAUGUGUUGCUUCGUAGUAAGUCAUUAUUCAUGUGUCAGUGCUUGUCUGUAUUAAUAUUAUAUUCAAUAAAAACUAUAGGGGGCUUCCCUGGUGGCGCA
Non-coding RNA from Globicephala melas (long-finned pilot whale), 7643 nucleotides. The record is from RefSeq and is a predicted model, not a curated record. Lineage: Eukaryota; Metazoa; Chordata; Mammalia; Artiodactyla; Delphinidae.